ACCGUGGCACGCGUGGAGGGGUAAGGCGCGCGACGGGGCUGGCUGGAGGAGCUGUGGUGGCGCGGCAGAAGAGCAGGAGCGCGGUGGAGCUUCCGCCGAGCAGCGCUGAGCACGAGAGAAAGAGAGGGAGAGGUGAGCGAGAGAGAGGGAGCAAAGAAGCAGAUGCUCACCGUGAGGGGUUGCUACGGGCUGAGGUGGUCUGUGGGUGUCCGGCGUCCUCUUCCGCGCAGGUGGUGAUAGCUUGUAGCAGCUCGCGAGGUGUGGUUGUCCAGUGGCAAGAACUCUCUGUUUUGAUUGAGA
This is a long non-coding RNA of Juglans microcarpa x Juglans regia, 300 nucleotides long. RefSeq lists it as uncharacterized. NCBI's taxonomy places the organism in Eukaryota, Viridiplantae, Streptophyta, Magnoliopsida, Fagales, Juglandaceae. The record is from RefSeq and is a predicted model, not a curated record. The transcript is spliced from 2 exons.